This 589-nucleotide ribosomal RNA is filed under the name Rhodotorula glutinis. Its description in RNAcentral is "eukaryotic LSU rRNA". It matches the Rfam family "Eukaryotic large subunit ribosomal RNA", at positions 49 to 650 of the family's 3401-position model. Lineage: Eukaryota; Fungi; Basidiomycota; Microbotryomycetes; Sporidiobolales; Sporidiobolaceae. The record is from RNAcentral.
AGCGGAGGAAAAGAAACUAACAAGGAUUCCCCUAGUAGCGGCGAGCGAAGCGGGAAGAGCUCAAAUUUAUAAUCUGGCACCUUCGGUGUCCGAGUUGUAAUCUCUAGAAGUGUUUUCCGCGUUGGACCGCACACAAGUCUGUUGGAAUACAGCGGCAUAGUGGUGAAACCCCCGUAUAUGGUGCGGACGCCCAGCGCUUUGUGAUACACUUUCAAUGAGUCGAGUUGUUUGGGAAUGCAGCUCAAAUUGGGUGGUAAAUUCCAUCUAAAGCUAAAUAUUGGCGAGAGACCGAUAGCGAACAAGUACCGUGAGGGAAAGAUGAAAAGCACUUUGGAAAGAGAGUUAACAGUACGUGAAAUUGUUGGAAGGGAAACGCUUGAAGUCAGACUUGCUUGCCGGAGCUUGCUUCGGUUUGCAGGCCAGCAUCAGUUUUCCGGGGUGGAUAAUAACGGUUUGAAGGUAGCAGUCUCGGCUGUGUUAUAGCUUUCCGUUGGAUACAUCCUGGGGGACUGAGGAACGCAGCGUGCUUUUUGCGAAAGACUCGUCUUUUUCACGCUUAGGAUGCUGGUGGAAUGGCUUUAAACGACCC